RNAcentral lists this ribosomal RNA (375 nucleotides) under uncultured Colpodella. Its description in RNAcentral is "SSU rRNA". It matches the Rfam family "Eukaryotic small subunit ribosomal RNA", at positions 496 to 900 of the family's 1831-position model. The record is from RNAcentral. Lineage: Eukaryota; Colpodellaceae.
UUCGGUUUCGUAACUGUAAUGAGAGGAUUUUAAAUCUCUCUAUCGAAAACAAUUGGAGGGCAAGUCUGGUGCCAGCAGCCGCGGUAAUUCCAGCUCCAAUAGCGUAUAUUAAAGUUGUUGCAGUUAAAAAGCUCGUAGUCGAAUUUCUGCUUAUUAACGGCCAGCUGUUUACUCAGCUUGGUAGUUGUAGGCAUCCUUCUAAGUCUCCUUAACGGGAGUAGCUUAGAGCCUUUACUUUGAGAAAAUUAGAGCGUUCCAAGCAAGCGAUUGCUUUGAAUACUACAGCAUGGAAUAAUAUUAUAGGACUUUUUGCCUAUUUUUUGGUUUAGGUUGGAAGUAAUGAUUAAUAGGGACAGUUGGGGGCAUUCGUAUUUG